UACUUUGACAAUUUUUGGAUUUUAUAUCAACUGAUAAAUUGAAAUAUAUCUAAAACACCUGUAUCUGCAUUGCAAUGCAUUUCGCAUUCACAAAUACUUAUAUAUCCUGAGACUUUUAUCUAUGGCGCACACCUUAAGACCCAAGAUCCCCCGAGGAAGCUAGUUCUUUUCGUACAUGUCAUUGACUCACACCCAAGGAAAGAGACAGAGACUAAGUGAGAGAAAGAGAGAGAGACAGUCCGGAAUGGUAGAGAAACAUAAAAUUUGCCGCAAUUUCUAGGGCGUCGUCAUCGCCGUUGUCGUCUCGUUUUGUAGGUGACUUUGGCUGUGCGGCAUAUAAAUAAAUAUUAUAUUACCCUCAGUGAGCAGGAAACCUUAGACCCGCGUCGCAAAUGCGAGACACAUCUCCCGCCCCUCGCCCUUUUGUUUGCCUGCUGAGUUGUUAAUUAAAUAUUUACCCUGCUUAUUUGCAAAAUGAAUAACUUUAGCAUUUUAUUUCACAUGGCGCAAUGUGUGUAGCUUCUAUGUAUGUUGCUUCUAGGGAUUUCCGGCCCGCACUCUAACCUUUUAGCACAUUUAUGCUUGACUUGGGAGACACUUUAAGUUCGCCUUUGGCUGCAGCUUUAAUUGCCUUUAUUGCGGAGCUUAGGUACAUGGAGAAAAAUAUCUGUAAAGGAAGUAAAAUCUUAUAGAACUUACUACUAUCUACUAUAUAACUAUGAAAUUAGCACGAACAGUUGGGGGUUAUAAAGUCUCCCAGGUAAAGUUGCCAGUUUAACUGACUUUCGUUAGUCACUUUGCAAGUUGAGCUCACCCAUCCACGAAUUACAUCAUUCAAAUUCUCUCACAACCUUCUAGCUAAAAAAUAAUGCCAGGCGCAUUUGCAUUUAACGUUUCAUUUUUCUUCUCACAUAUUUAUUUAUUUCAUUUUUUUUAGCGUUUUGUUACGCUUCACAUUUACGUGUUGAUCGCUCGUUCCAGCACACAAAGCUAAACUUGUUUUGCAAAGUGCCAUUCAAAUACUCGCUGUAGUCUGAAUCUUGGCCCAUCUAAUGACUUCAUUUCUCGUUGUUGUUUCACAAGGUGAGUUGGACGAAUCUCAAAUAUUUCAACAGCUGAAGUUCCGCGCUGAGCUAGCAGUUUACCCCAGAGAACUUUGCAUAAUUGAUUAAUAAUUUUGGCGGACAGGUGGCGCCCCCCGAGCGACCACGCCCCCUUGGCGACCGCUGCCCGCCAAUCGUUAAAUAUUCAAAUGAACUAUCCAGACCGCCCUAACCCAUUAAUUAGCCCGACUUGAGCACACAUUAGAUAAAUGUUGUGAAACUUGAUUAAAAGCAAACAGUUCGAACUCCAAGCUUCGCAUAGAAAAAAUUUCACUCUCUCGCUUUAAAAGGGGUUCCACAAUCCAGAGAUAGAUAAAGAUAGAUACUCGUAGUUCAAGAAAGGGGGAAAAUCUAUAGAAGAGGGGGCGUUACCCUAAACGUACUAUUGAUUUUACUUACAUUCGAGUUUUUGCUGAUUUGUUGAUCAUUUUGUUUGUUUGGCCUGCGCUUGCUUGUCUGUUUGCUUGUUUGUUGAUUUUCUGUUUGCUUGACUCGAAAAUUAUUUGGGUUAAACCAACAGCAACAGGCAAUCAAUGCAAUAGUCGAAGCUCGUAGAAAAGACUUCAAAUGGGAUUGAAGCACUGAUAUUUUCCGAAAUUGCUUCCUGGUAUGGAAGUUUCUUUCAUAAAGUUAUGAAAUUCCAAGUUUCAUUGGGGAAGUGCAAAGUUCGAAACUUGAAUGCAAAUUAUGUACAAAAAGAGUGCUUAAAUUUAACGGACUGUAGUCUCCUUUAAAUCAAUAGAAUUCUUAAGUAAGUCAUAAAACUUGUAAUAAAUAUAGGCCAUUCUUUCUUUUUACUUUAAGUUAUCCCCAUUGAACUGCCUUUUCUUGUUUCAACUUGUAACGUCUCUAAUCUCAUUAAUUCGUCUUCAAACACCUGCCUAAUCCAAUAAGUUGUUCAACUUCUCAGAAACAACUUUAACCGCAGAAACUUUAACACGAAGCAAGUUAAUUUGUCGCAGCUAGGAAACUAGCUUAUAGGUAAACAACGAACAUGUCAACAAAACUUAACAGAAAUUAACUGGGUAAACACGAAAAGAACCGGGAAAUACUUGCUUAAUUAACUGGCAAAACUUUCGGCAGAAAGGACACAGAGAUGGAGGUGGGGGAAAUGUGGGCGUGGGAACCCUUUUAUUAAAAGGAUAAAGUGCCGCAACGUGGCGUAUGCGCAAUUAACAUUUAUGGCAAUUAAUUAUACGAUUAUGCAUACGCCGUGUGGCACAACAUAAUCAGCCAAAGUUUCUGUCUAUUCUAUUCUGGCUCCUAAUGAAGGCAUCAAAUCCGAAGGCGACAAAAUGUUUACCACCGUCAUUUUUUGCCCCCACUUUCGGCAGUCAGCAAGGUCGAAACCGUAAACGAGCCAUUCAGAGACUUGAGACUUUAAUUAAUCGUUGUAUCGCCAACAACUCUGAUUAACCGAACAGACCCAAAAUACUAAAAUACUGCCCCCGAGGCAGCUCAAUCUCGUUAAUUGAUAUGCAAAAUCAAAUGGCCACUAAAUGGUGCGAACCAAAGAAUUACGCAGAAGUGCCAUGCCAGGUGAAGGUUUCACGGGUUAUCCAAGGAAUCCAGGCCACAGUUCGUUGAACUUGCAGAGGGGAGUGUCACAAUACAUUACGCACAAAUGAAAGUUAAUUGAAUAGCCUAAAUCUGCAGCCAGUACAAAAAUAUAGGACAUAUUUUUAUUUGCCCUUGCA
This is a long non-coding RNA of Drosophila yakuba, 2800 nucleotides long. RefSeq lists it as uncharacterized. NCBI's taxonomy places the organism in Eukaryota, Metazoa, Arthropoda, Insecta, Diptera, Drosophilidae. The transcript has 2 exons. The record is from RefSeq and is a predicted model, not a curated record.